This 254-nucleotide unclassified non-coding RNA is filed under the name Hevea brasiliensis (rubber tree). Lineage: Eukaryota; Viridiplantae; Streptophyta; Magnoliopsida; Malpighiales; Euphorbiaceae. The record is from RNAcentral.
UGGUGAAAAAAAAAUGAAGUCCCCAUGUUGGAAACCAUUUUAAAAAAUUAAGAAAUAAGAGUGACAAAUCCACAAAAAAAAAGGGGGACCUAAGCUGUCAACAGACAUUAUAGUUCAUUAAUUCCUAAAGCACUCAAUAAAAAGAAGUCUAAAAUGGCACCAAUUUUUUAAUGGCUUCCACACAAAAGUCCCAGUUAGAAGAACAGAAACUAGAAAAUCCUUGGUUCUAAAGAAUUAUAUUGCCAAUUAUGUGA